This 484-nucleotide ribosomal RNA is filed under the name uncultured bacterium. RNAcentral's name for it is "partial 16S ribosomal RNA". It matches the Rfam family "Bacterial small subunit ribosomal RNA", at positions 30 to 507 of the family's 1533-position model. The record is from RNAcentral.
AUUGAACGCUGGCGGCAGGCCUAACACAUGCAAGUCGAGCGAAUGGAGGGAGCUUGCUCCUGGAUUCAGCGGCGGACGGGUGAGUAAUGCCUAGGAAUCUGCCUGGUCGUGGGGGAUAACGUCCGGAAACGGGCGCUAAUACCGCAUACGUCCUGAGGGAGAAAGUGGGGGAUCUUCGGACCUCACGCUAUCAGAUGAGCCUAGGGCGGAUUAGCUAGUUGGUGGGGUAAAGGCCUACCAAGGCGACGAUCCGAAACUGGUCUGAGAGGCUGAUCAGUCACACUGGAACUGAGACACGGUCCAGACUCCUACGGGAGGCAGCAGGGGGGAAUAUUGGACAAUGGGCGAAAGCCUGAUCCAGCCAUGCCGCGUGUGUGAAGAAGGUCUUCGGAUUGUAAAGCACUUGAAGUUGGGAGGAAGGGCAGUAAGUUAAUACCUUGCUGUUUUGACGUGACCAACAGAAUAAGCACCGGCUAACUUCGUG